Molecule: long non-coding RNA, 320 nt
Filed under: Mastacembelus armatus (zig-zag eel)
Lineage: Eukaryota; Metazoa; Chordata; Actinopteri; Synbranchiformes; Mastacembelidae
Description: lncRNA (ENSMAMG00000026739.1)
Source: RNAcentral
CUGUUGAGCUGUGGAAACCUGACGGUGUUAACUAAGCAGCUGAUCAGGAAGUUGCGAGAGAAGUAGUGUUCAAUUGGGUCAGUUGCUCGGGUGUACUCCAUACAAACUGACUGGCUUGUGUGGUAUAGGGAAAGUUGUUUUGUACUGAGAAAAGGUUUCAUUUACAGGAAAAAUUCAAGGAGGCUCCAGCGCUGAGUCGGAUAAACGUAGCAGUGCAUACCUGCGUGAUAAAGAAAAUCCUGGAGGGCCGCAAAGAGGCCGCCUGUCUUUAAAGAGACGCAGAGAGUGGCCUAUUUUAACCGAAAUAAACAGUCCGGGUG